ACAUAAUGGGCAUGUAAAUAAAAGUGUGUUCACUUUUAUUUUGAAGGAGAAGUGGUACCGGAAGCAGGUAAUCGUGAGCAGAGCGGAGUCCGGUUGAAGACGGUUGUGUGGGACAUUGUUGAAAACCGUUUUUUCGGCCGUGUGUCCUGCUCUUUCCGUUACGUGGUUCAUCAGCUACAACCGGAGAGAACCAGCAGAGCCCGUAUAUAUGGAUACACUUAUUUGAGUGAACUUUGUGCGAAUGUAUAAGACGUUUCCUCUCAGACUCAUCUAAAUUAGCUAAGAAUGCUAAAAUAAGUUAGCAUAGCUUGCUAGCUGUAGAUAGGAGACAGACAACACAGCUCGGAGAGACUAUUCGAUAGAAACCACGCUGUGUUUUUCAUAGACCAACAAAGUCCAGAUAAACCUGACUGAAUGGACUCUGUGCUGGUCCCUUUACUUGAAAACGUCUGGAUUGUCUCCUGGUGUUUUUACGAAGCUAAUGAAGUUAGCUAGCUAGCUGGAGACGGACGUGAACGUAACCUAGCAACACAGUACGUGUCAGAUUGAGUGACAGUUUUGAACGAAGUGUGUCUGGAGGAGAAGUUGCUGUGAUUUAGUAAAAAUGUCUAAAACUCAGAUGCUGAGAGAUUUUGUCAACCAGCGACUAACUGCGGCUGCUGGUGAGAUAUUUGAGCUGUUUGAAAGAACGAUAACAGAGUACGAGGAGGAGCUGGAGUUCAGCUCAAAAGAGAUUCACCGACAACGGAAACUACUGGACACUGUUUUCCACCCGGAAGUCCGGUUACACAGAGCAGUAAACGCACAGAAGAAGAAAACAGGAACAAUAACACAGAAGAAGAAGAAACAUAUGAUGAGAGUCACAGUGAACGGGAGAUCGAUGGAGACGCAGCUGUACCUGCCAAACAAGUUAAAACUUUAUGUAAGUACCAAAUGGGAGGAGACCUUCACUUAUUUAAUAAAAGCAGAGUCGGGACAACUCAUGCUUUUUGUAAAGUGUGCCAUUCAGAUGUUAGCUUUGCACACGGACGAUGUCCGUCAGCAUGAAAAAGCGUCCAAGCACAAGCACGAGCACGCCCAAGAGGCACAAACAUCCACAGUCAAUGACUUCAUGUGUGACAAGAACUGUGUCGGAGGCAGAACAAGAGACCAGAGCUGAGGGACAGAUGUCGAUGCUUUGUGCUAAACAUAAUGUCGCCUUCAGCUUCUGCAAUGAUUUCAGUCGCAGUGUCGCGACAUGUUUCCUGACUCUGCUAUCGCGAGGAAGUCCUCGUGGGGGAAACAAAAAACACACAACUCAUCAAUCAUCAAAUAAAAUGAUGAUAAAUAAAUAAAAUACAUAAAUCUUAUAAACAUGUCUGUACAAGUAAUACAUACUUUAAAUAAACAUGUAUUUCCUGAAUGUAUACCCGUCCCUUAUGUGUUUACAUUGUAUGGGUGGGGGCUGGGGGGCUGAGAGCUGUUAAAAUAUGAGCAGAGUCCGCCAAAAAAUGUCCCUUAUUUUGAAAUUCCAAUGUUGACAGGUAUGUUGUGUGUGUGUGUGUGUGUGUGUGUGUGGUCUACUGUGACCACAUGGUGUUAUCCGGGUUUCUGAAAAAUCUGAUUAUAAGGAUACUAGAGCACAUGUAAACAAACUCAGUGAUUGUACAAAUUACUUUUCAGAUUACAGUUUUCCAUCAACUUCCUGUCCAGUGAAAACCAUGAAUCUCCAGAUGUGUUGAUUUUUAAUGUUUGUAAUAAAUGGAUGAAGUGUGCCUUUAAUACCAGGGCUGUACGGUGCUCAGCCCCGGCACAAAGCUGCGCUCCUGUGACAGGUUUUUUGGGUGUGCCGCUACAAAGUGAAAAUAGGGGAAACAAAACUAAUGUAACUAAAUGUAAAAGUAGGAUUUUACUUUUGCAGUUUGUUGACUUGGAGCUUAUUUGAUUAUAGAAUAUAAUCCUUUAUUGUCGUUGCAUUUUACAACAACAUUAAUUAAUUCAACUGUCCCAAAGUCAGUGUAAACUGUCAAAAAUUCGAAAUAUUAUCCUUUUACUUUGUUAUUGUCAUCUAUUGUGGUUAUUUGCAUUAAAACACACAAUUUAAAUAAUUAGGAAAUUAAUGGUUUUAAUUCUAUUCUGUCUUGUCCCAAUUUGAAAUUCAUCCCAAAUGUAAUGAUUGUGUUUGUGGAGAUACAGCUGUGUGUGUGUAAAGAGGGAAUAGAGGAGGUGACUCAGCAUACCAUAGAAGAACAGGACGUGACAUCACGCAUAUGUUUGCGACUACGGUUUUGAAGCCUUGAGUUUGGCAUUUUGGAUGUCGCUAUCUUAUUAAUUAUUAGUUAUUAAUUGAGAUGUAGGGUU
RNAcentral lists this long non-coding RNA (2340 nucleotides) under Cottoperca gobio. RNAcentral describes it as "lncRNA (ENSCGOG00000005967.1)". Lineage: Eukaryota; Metazoa; Chordata; Actinopteri; Perciformes; Bovichtidae. The record is from RNAcentral.